AUACUUACCUGGCAGGGGAGAUACCAUGAUCACGAAGGCAGUUUUCCCAUGGCGAGACUUAUCCAUUUCACUCCAGAUGUGCUGACCCUGUGAUUUCCCCAAAUGUGGGAAACUCGACUGCAGAAUUUGUGGUAGUUGGGGACUGCUACAAAACUAUUUCCAU
Sorex fumeus (smoky shrew) is the source of this 163-nucleotide small nuclear RNA. RefSeq annotates it as U1 spliceosomal RNA. The transcript has a single exon. The record is from RefSeq and is a predicted model, not a curated record. NCBI's taxonomy places the organism in Eukaryota, Metazoa, Chordata, Mammalia, Eulipotyphla, Soricidae.